CCUACGGGAGGCAGCAGUGGGGAAUUUUGGACAAUGGGCGAAAGCCUGAUCCAGCGACGCCGCGUGUGCGAUGAAGGCCUUUGGGUCGUAAAGCACUGUCGACAGGGACGAAAACUCCGCGGAUAACACCCGCGGGGCUUGACUGUACCUGUGGAGGAAGCACCGGCUAACUCUGUGCCAGCAGCCGCGGUAAUACAGAGGGUGCAAACGUUGCUCGGAAUUACUGGGCGUAAAGCGCGUGUAGGCGGUCCGUUAAGUUGGUAGUGAAAUCCCAUGGCUCAACCAUGGAAGUGCUACCAAAACUGGCGGGCUGGAGUGCCGGAGAGGGUGGCGGAAUUCCCAGUGUAGAGGUGAAAUUCGUAGAUAUUGGGAGGAACACCGGUGGCGAAGGCGGCCACCUGGACGGUAACUGACGCUGAGACGCGAAAGCGUGGGGAGC
This 439-nucleotide ribosomal RNA is filed under the name uncultured Leuconostoc sp. RNAcentral's name for it is "bacterial SSU rRNA". It matches the Rfam family "Bacterial small subunit ribosomal RNA", at positions 338 to 769 of the family's 1533-position model. The record is from RNAcentral. Lineage: Bacteria; Bacillati; Bacillota; Bacilli; Lactobacillales; Lactobacillaceae.